CAGCAGCCGCGGUAACACGUAGGGCGCAAGCGUUGUCCGGAAUUAUUGGGCGUAAAGAGCUCGUAGGCGGUCUGUCGCGUCUGGUGUGAAAUCCCGAGGCUCAACCUCGGGCUUGCAUCGGGUACGGGCAGACUAGAGUGCGGUAGGGGAGACUGGAAUUCCUGGUGUAGCGGUGGAAUGCGCAGAUAUCAGGAGGAACACCGAUGGCGAAGGCAGGUCUCUGGGCCGCAACUGACGCUGAGGAGCGAAAGCAUGGGGAGCGAACAGGAUUAGAUACCCCUGUAGUCCCUGUCUCUUAUAC
This 301-nucleotide ribosomal RNA is filed under the name uncultured bacterium. RNAcentral describes it as "partial 16S ribosomal RNA". It matches the Rfam family "Bacterial small subunit ribosomal RNA", at positions 509 to 807 of the family's 1533-position model. The record is from RNAcentral.